This is a non-coding RNA of Cricetulus griseus (Chinese hamster), 2322 nucleotides long. The record is from RefSeq and is a predicted model, not a curated record. NCBI's taxonomy places the organism in Eukaryota, Metazoa, Chordata, Mammalia, Rodentia, Cricetidae.
AGGAAAUCUUCCAUGAUCAGCUCAGACCUGCCAAUCUGGAGAACUUUGGCUUGGGGGAAAUUUAGGAGUCAUAUUUCACUCCUCACUUUCAAGAGAGAGUCUGCUGGCUCUCUACUUCAUCAUUGCUGCAUCUGCCAUGUCAGCCGUCCCCAGAUCUUCAGCGGAACUGACUCUACAAAGCUCGAGCUUCGCCCCAGGCUGGCCUCUGUCUGAAAUGCUCCUCCUGCCUACCCUGGUCUACCUAAUUCCUGCUCAUCAUCAUUCAAAUCUCGGCUGCCCCUCAGAAGCCACCAUUGACUUUACAGUUUCCGUGAGAUUCUCCAGUUCUGCUCUCCCAUAAUGCCCUGUUCGUAUACCUAUGGCUAGGGGUGUGUAAUGGUUCACUUAACUUGCUACACGUAUCAUGAAAGUAGAUAUUAUGUCUGUUGUGUCCUCCAUGAAAACUGCCCGGACCAUAAAAGAUAUUCAGAAAGCAUGUGAUAUCGUUAAGUACAUGAGCCAUUUUUAUCACUUUAAAUCACCAGUGUCAACAGAUCAUGUCCCCUCAAAAUUAGCUAUUCGUGAGAACCUUCAGCCUAAUCCACAAAACUCUGGACAACCCAGGGAAUGCUUGACACUAACACCCUGCUUAACUGCCCCGUGCUUUGGUGUCCAUUUUGUUCUGCUAGACCUCACGGAGAGGUUUGCUUCUCAGUAUGUGGCUUGUAUAUUUCACUUCCUCCAUCUCCCGUAUGUGUCCUGCUCAUCACUUGUCAAAGCGUGACUCUCAUGUCACCUACCUGCUUUAAAGUGGCAGUCAGUGCCCACUCAAAGAAGCAGUGGUGUAGAAACCCUGGAUCCUUUGUUCCACCUGAACCUGUGAUCCUGUAAAUCCCAGGAUUUGUGGGAAUGAUGGCAUAAAGGUCAUGCCUGGUUGAGCCGUGUCCCCCUUAGCUAGUGCUUGCUUUUUCUGUUACAGGACAUACGCCGCUGUGUGCACAGGGUGGUUUAGAGGGUGGCCCUCACUGAAGGCAUUGCCUUCUUUUGGGAUUUUGCUAUUCAAAACCAGAUCAGCCGUUUGUCAGAGGAAUCUAGUGAGUCUCCAUGCUGCUGGACCAUUACCCAUGAUCCCUUCCCAUUACAGUCUCAUCGGGAGGCUCAUGAAACACUGGGGACCCUAGUCUAGAGCAUCAGGUGGAAAACAAGAACCAAUUCCCUGCUGCAUGUCCUGAGUGCCCUUGAAGGGGAGAUGGCCUAGCCCUUCUCCUCUAAUCUCCUCCAUCUCUGCAAAAGAGGAGCAGCAGAGGAUUAACUGGUUUUAUCAGCAAAGCAUUAAGCUCACUGGAGAUAAAGCACAACUCCCAAAGGGAUGGAGAGUACACACAUGAUUAGGGGAAAGGUAGAAGGAAGGAAACAAGAUGUGCUUUGUGCUGGGUGCCAGACUGUGGCUGCUGCAUGGGCAUGGUGGGAAAGGGGGAAGCAGGGAGAGGGUAACUUGAGGGCACUGGACUGCAGGAUACAAAUGACCUGCCACUGGGCAGCAGGAGUACAUGAAGUCUUUUGGGGCAGGUCGGAAGAGGCAUCAGGUUCCCUCUUUCCAUCUCCUUCUCUUGACUACAUUGUUGCAUUAGGAAAAGUUGCCAGGGAUGACAGGGGCCACUGUUUCUGUUAACUCUAAGCAGGAAGUGGCUACAGUUUAGAAGUUGUUAUUUAUGGACCCCUUUAGGAAGAAAAAACAAUAGGAAAUAAGCAGAAGAGCAUCUGGGUGAAUACUUAGAGAGGGGAAGAGCUCACUUAGAGCUGAGAGUCGCUGGGAGGGAGGGGCUGGAGGCUGAACUCCAACAGCAGAGAUACAAUGUAAAGUUACAAAGCAUCCACGGAGGUGUCAUGGGGGUACAUUGCCGCUUGUAUUCUUACAGGUUCAAAUCAGUAUGAUGUUUAAGGACUGGUUCCAUAGUUGUGAUGGAUUUCAGUACAAAGCAGGUGAUGACAUGUGUGGGGAGAAUUGUCCACAUGAAGGAAUGCCUGGAAAAUCUGGGUGGCUUUGCUUGAGAAGGGAAGGAUCACAAAAUAACACAUGUUCUACAUGUUAGAGGCCUGUGAAUGUGCCACGAUGCCGAGUGCCCUUCAUAUGUAGCCUCAUGGAAACCUUACCCUGAAAAGGAGGGUCUCCUAGUAAGGUUCCGGGAGGUUCACCAACCUGCCCGAGGCUUCAUAGCCAGCAGGAGGCCCAUCCAGGAAGCAAGCCUGUGUUCCCUGGCCCCUCCAUUUCUAAAGGGCCACUUUGCCCUCCAGGAAGGAGGUUCUCCAGACUUGCUCUGCUAAAUAAAAAUAAUGAACUUA